UACGUAGGGACCGAGCGUUGUCCGGAUUUAUUGGGCGUAAAGAGCGUGUAGGCGGCCAGGUAGGUCUGCUGUGAAAACUCGAGGCUUAACCUCGAGCUGUCGGCGGAAACCAUCUGGCUAGAGUCCGGAAGAGGAGAAUGGAAUUCCCGGUGUAGCGGUGAAAUGCGCAGAUAUCGGGAAGAACACCCGUGGCGAAGGCGGUUCUCUGGGACGGUACUGACGCUGAGACGCGAAAGCGUGGGGAGCGAACAGG
This 253-nucleotide ribosomal RNA is filed under the name uncultured bacterium. RNAcentral describes it as "partial 16S ribosomal RNA". It matches the Rfam family "Bacterial small subunit ribosomal RNA", at positions 524 to 776 of the family's 1533-position model. The record is from RNAcentral.